GCCUGAAAACUACAAGCGUAAGCUCAAAACUCAAAGGGUCUGGCGGCACUUUAAACUAUCUAGAGGAGCCUGUCCUAUAAUCGAUAAUCCCCGUUAAACCUCACCUUCUUUAGCAAUCAGCCUGUAUACCGCCGUCGUCAGCUUACCCCCUAAAGGUCACACAAGUAAGCAAAGCUGGUCUUACCCAAAACGUCAGGUCGAGGUGCAGCUUACAAGAAGGGAAGAGAUGGGCUACAUUUCCUAGGAAACACGAAUAGUGCACUGAAACAUGUACAUUGAAGGAGGAUUUAGCAGUAAGUAAAAAAUAGAGUGUUUUACUGAAAAAGGUCUUAAAGUGCGUAC
Molecule: ribosomal RNA, 342 nt
Filed under: Titanolebias elongatus
Lineage: Eukaryota; Metazoa; Chordata; Actinopteri; Cyprinodontiformes; Rivulidae
Description: Austrolebias elongatus partial 12S ribosomal RNA
Rfam family: Bacterial small subunit ribosomal RNA
Source: RNAcentral